AACGAACGCUGGCGGCAUGCCUAACACAUGCAAGUCGAACGAGAUCUUCGGGUCUAGUGGCGCACGGGUGCGUAACGCGUGGGAAUCUGCCCUUUGGUUCGGAAUAACAGUUGGAAACGACUGCUAAUACCGGAUGAUGACGAAAGUCCAAAGAUUUAUCGCCAGAGGAUGAGCCCGCGUAGGAUUAGCUAGUUGGUGUGGUAAAGGCGCACCAAGGCGACGAUCCUUAGCUGGUCUGAGAGGAUGAUCAGCCACACUGGGACUGAGACACGGCCCAGACUCCUACGGGAGGCAGCAGUGGGGAAUAUUGGACAAUGGGCGAAAGCCUGAUCCAGCAAUGCCGUGUGAGUGAUGAAGGCCUUAGGGUUGUAAAGCUCUUUUACCCGGGAUGAUAAUGACGGUACCGGGAGAAUAAGCUCCGGCUAACUCCGUGCCAGCCGCCGCGGUAA
This 449-nucleotide ribosomal RNA is filed under the name uncultured bacterium. Its description in RNAcentral is "partial 16S ribosomal RNA". It matches the Rfam family "Bacterial small subunit ribosomal RNA", at positions 29 to 523 of the family's 1533-position model. The record is from RNAcentral.